This 433-nucleotide ribosomal RNA is filed under the name uncultured bacterium. RNAcentral describes it as "partial 16S ribosomal RNA". It matches the Rfam family "Bacterial small subunit ribosomal RNA", at positions 29 to 507 of the family's 1533-position model. The record is from RNAcentral.
AACGAACGCUGGCGGCAUGCCUAACACAUGCAAGUCGAACGAGACCUUCGGGUCUAGUGGCGCACGGGUGCGUAACGCGUGGGAACCUGCCCUUAGGUUCGGAAUAACUCCCCGAAAGGGGUGCUAAUACCGGAUAAUGUCUUCGGACCAAAGAUUUAUCGCCUUUGGAUGGGCCCGCGUUGGAUUAGCUAGUUGGUAGGGUAAAAGCCUACCAAGGCGACGAUCCAUAGCUGGUCUGAGAGGAUGAUCAGCCACACUGGGACUGAGACACGGCCCAGACUCCUACGGGAAGCAGCAGUGGGGAAUAUUGGACAAUGGGCGAAAGCCUGAUCCAGCAAUGUCGCGUGAGUGAUGAAGGCCUUAGGGUUGUAAAGCUCUUUUACCCGGGAUGAUAAUGACAGUACCGGGAGAAUAAGCUCCGGCUAACUCCGUG